CUUUCUGUGGCUCAUGACUACAGUGUUUUGCUGUAACAGCACAUACGAUUUAUGGUUAUGUAAAAUUCUGCCAUAUACAUAUGCUGGGCAUGUGAAGAAGUUUGAGGACAUCCCAAAAGAGAACACUGAAAAAUAGGAGAUAAAAAGCAAGCUCUGAGAGCCAGUCUCUGCAGAUUAAUCCAAACACAAGAACAUUUUGUGAAGCUCCCGAACAAUUGAAAUCUCAGAGUUUCAGAGGUGGGGUUUGGAUGAAUGUACAUCUUCAGUGCUGUUGCUGCAGCUGUUACAGUUGCAUAGAAAUACUUUUCCCAUCAGAGUUUCAAUGUAGAAAGGCCACAAGCUUCACUUUGAAUUGACACUGAGAAUUGUCUCUACUGAGAGAUGCAGAGUGAUAAGUGUUUUGUAGCAUAUUAAUAAGAUGCACCAAGCUUUGAAUUUGAAUGGGGGCUCUACUCACUAAAUAAACAAAACCACUUAUCUGAAUGCA
This 487-nucleotide long non-coding RNA is filed under the name Phasianus colchicus (ring-necked pheasant). RNAcentral describes it as "lncRNA (ENSPCLG00000003153.1)". The record is from RNAcentral. Lineage: Eukaryota; Metazoa; Chordata; Aves; Galliformes; Phasianidae.